Molecule: ribosomal RNA, 460 nt
Filed under: uncultured bacterium
Lineage: Bacteria
Description: partial 16S ribosomal RNA
Rfam family: Bacterial small subunit ribosomal RNA
Source: RNAcentral
CCUACGGGUGGCAGCAGUGAGGAAUAUUGGUCAAUGGGCGAGAGCCUGAACCAGCCAAGUCGCGUGAAGGAUGACGGCCCUACGGGUUGUAAACUUCUUUUGUCAGGGAGCAAUUGAGCCCACGUGUGGGCUUAGCGAGAGUACCUGAAGAAGAAGCAUCGGCUAAGUCGGUGCCAGCAGCCGCGGUAAUACGGAGGAUGCGAGCGUUAUCCGGAUUUAUUGUGUUUAAAAGGUGCGUAGGCGGAAUAUAAAGUCAGCGGUAAAAAUUUGGGGAUCAACGCUGUAGUGACGUUGAACCUUAUGUUCUUGAGUGGGCGAGAAGUAGGCGGAAUGCGUGGUGUAGCGGUGAAAGGCAUAGAUAUCACGCAGAACUCCGAUUGCGAAGGCAGCAUACCGGCGCCCAACUGACGCUGAAGCACGAAAGCGUGGGUAUCGAACAGGAUUAGAUACCCCUGUAGUC